This 253-nucleotide ribosomal RNA is filed under the name uncultured bacterium. Its description in RNAcentral is "partial 16S ribosomal RNA". It matches the Rfam family "Bacterial small subunit ribosomal RNA", at positions 524 to 776 of the family's 1533-position model. The record is from RNAcentral.
UACGGGGGGGGCAAGCGUUGUUCGGAAUUACUGGGCGUAAAGGGCUCGUAGGCGGCCAACUAAGUCGGACGUGAAAUCCCCAGGCUCAACCUGGGAACUGCGUCCGAUACUGGGUGGCUUGAAUUCGGGAGAGGGAUGCAGAAUUCCAGGUGUAGCGGUGAAAUGCGUAGAUAUCUUCAGGAACGCCGAUGGUGAAGACGGUCGGCUGGGCCUGUCCUGACACUGAGGCACGAAAGCGUGGGGAGCAAACAGG